UCCUUCCUUUUUACCACCCUGAACGCGCGCAAUCUCUUCUGAUCUCAGAAGCUAAGCAGGGUCAGGCCUGGUUAGUCCUGGCAUGGGAGACC
Molecule: non-coding RNA, 92 nt
Organism: Myotis lucifugus (little brown bat)
Lineage: Eukaryota; Metazoa; Chordata; Mammalia; Chiroptera; Vespertilionidae
Source: Rfam